GUAAAAAGCCUCUAGUUGAUAGAAUAAUGUAGAUAAGGGAAGUUGGUAAAAUAGAUCUAUAAUUUUAGGAAAAGGAUUAGCUCUAAGGGUUGGGUAUGUUGGGCCUUAGGGAGAAGCCUCUAGUGUAGAAGGGUACUAGCUAUAAGGUGGGUGCCUUUUAGUACUGGGGUGCGGGCACCCUUGGUAGGCUUCAGCCGUCUAGCGUACGUUUAACAACUAACUUAGAACUAGUAUAGAUAAGGGGAAUCUAACUAUCUAAUUAAAAUAUAGUAUUAUAAUGGCUAGAAAGUAGUAUUAACGCAAUGUGAUUUCUACCUAGUGCUCUAAAUGUCAAAGCGAAGAGAUUCGACCAAGUGUAGGUAAAUGGUAGGAGUAACUAUGACUCUCUUAAGGUAGCUAAAUGCCUCAUCAUCUAAUUAGUAAUGCAUAUAAAUAGAUUAAUGAGAUUCCUACUAUCUCUAUCUACUAUCUAGUGAAACUAUAGCUAAGGGAACAGGCUUAGCUAAAUUAGUAGGGAAAGAAGACCCUAUUGAGCUUGACUCUAGUUUGACAUUAUGAAAAGACAUAGGGGGUAUAGAAUAGGUAGGAGCUUUAGUACUAGUAAAAUACUACUACUCUUAUUAUUUUUUUACUUAUUUAAUGAAGUAGAGCUAGGCCUUACUACUUAACUUCUAGCGUUAAGGUCCUUUAUAGGCUAAUCUAGGUUGAAGACAUUGUUAGGUAGGGAGUUUAGCUAGGGUAGUAUAUCUAUUAAACUAUAACGUAGGUAUCUUAAGGGGGACUCAUAGAGAAUAGAAAUCUCUAGUAGAGUAAAAGGGCAAAAGUCCCUUUGAUUUUGAUUUUUAGUAUGAAUACAAACUAUGAAAGUAUAGCCUAUUGAUCCUUUAGUCUCUCAAAAUUUGAGGCUAGAGGUGCUAGAAAAGUUACUAUAGGGAUAACUAGCUUGUAGUAGCUAAGUAUUCAUAGUAACAUUGCUUUUUGAUCUUUUAAUAUCAGCUCUUCCUAUUAUACUAAAGUAGAAUUUGGUAAGCAUUAGAUUGUUCACCUACUAAUAGGGAACGUGAGCUAGGUUUAGACUAUUAUAAGAUAGGUUAGUUUUACCCUACUAAUGACCUUGCCCUAAUAGUAAUACUACUUAGUAUGAGAGGAACUGUAGUUUUAGAUAAUUGGUUUUUGUAGCUAUCUAACUAGGCAUUGCUGUGAAGCUACUAUCUACUAGAUUAUAGCUGAAUGCCUCUAAGUUAGAAUCUAUGCUAGAAUAGGGUAAUUUCUACCUAUACUAGUUAGAUAUGAAUAGGCCUUUGGCCUAGAACCUUACUAGGCUAGCGUUGU
This 1332-nucleotide ribosomal RNA is filed under the name Pseudopyrenochaeta lycopersici CRA-PAV_ER 1211. RNAcentral's name for it is "eukaryotic LSU rRNA". It matches the Rfam family "Eukaryotic large subunit ribosomal RNA", at positions 1872 to 3230 of the family's 3401-position model. The record is from RNAcentral. Lineage: Eukaryota; Fungi; Ascomycota; Dothideomycetes; Pleosporales; Pseudopyrenochaetaceae.